This 397-nucleotide unclassified non-coding RNA is filed under the name fungal sp. Its description in RNAcentral is "partial internal transcribed spacer region". The stretch from base 1 to 46 matches the Rfam family "Eukaryotic small subunit ribosomal RNA", at positions 1786 to 1831 of the family's 1831-position model. The record is from RNAcentral. Lineage: Eukaryota; Fungi.
AAGUCGUAACAAGGUUUCCGUAGGUGAACCUGCGGAAGGAUCAUUAACGAAUCGUAUUAGAACUCCCGGUUGUCGCUGGCCUCUCUCUCUCUCUCUAUCUCACCGCUCUGGCGUUUUGGGGGUGUGGGAGGUAUGUGCACGCUGGGUCUAAACUUUUCAUUUCAACCUCCUGUGCACCUUUUGUGGGUCGCGGUCUCGGACUUUGAUCGUCGAAGUCACAUUCGGUUUUGAGCCUUGCGUCUAACACGCGCUUGACUCUUCAGUCCGUCCGCGGCUCAUGUCGUUCUUUUUACACACUACAAAUGUAACACAUAGAAUGGACUCGAGGUUUUGGGGCUUCAUUGACCCUCCUCAAAAUAAUAUAUAACAACUUUCAACAACGGAUCUCUUGGCUCUC